This 1259-nucleotide long non-coding RNA is filed under the name Helianthus annuus (common sunflower). Its description in RNAcentral is "hypothetical non coding rna". Lineage: Eukaryota; Viridiplantae; Streptophyta; Magnoliopsida; Asterales; Asteraceae. The record is from RNAcentral.
UCGUGUGGAAGUCGAAUUAGUCGAACCAUUAGAAUCCCAUGAAGAAUAACUGAAUUGAUCUAAAUUUAUAUUAGCAUCCCAUGUGAACGACGCUUUAUUGUUUGACUUUUCAGAAAAAAGUCCUUCAAUGUAGUCUGACAAGCUCAUUUGUGGAAUUCUUUUCAAAUCUACAUUAUUAGAAGAUAGAUGUUCCAAAAGAUGUUUCAGGGUGCUUUGUGCACGCUUCCAAAUACCUGAAUAAAUAUUGACUAGAAGUGAUUCAGGGUGAUAUGCAGGUAGAGAGCCACCAACAUCUGCUGUUAUUUCCAAAAUACUCGAUAGACCAAUAUCCGUAAAAAUAUCAUAUUUCUGUUCAUAGUUUUCAGAAACGCUUGAAACUAUACAAUUCUCCUUGUUCAUUCUCAUAACACCGUUUGACACGCAUGUUUCAUUACCGUCCUUAAAUGUCAAUUUUUCAACAUCACGAGUAUCAGAACCACUAUUCGACAUGUGUUUUUUGCUCUGUGGGAGUAACCACUGGCUGAAAAGACAAAAGUAGUCAUCAUGAACGAUCACACAACUUGCUUUAGGCCCCCAAACGAAAUCGCAGAUUACCGGACCAGUUUGACUUUUCGCAAGACAAAACCACACGUUUCUAUCCUUUGACUUUUCCGAACCUACAAAACUUUCACCUUCACAACGCUUCAUGGAGUACACCUGCAGUUCAUUCCGCAAGGAAACGCCAAGCAAUAACUGACCGUUACCUAUCGUUAACCAAUUUAACGCAACCACCGUACCAUCAAGAUGUAUACUUUCUUCAAGUAAAAAACUUCCAACAUCUCCAACGUAUAUACAUUCCCAUAUGUGAAGGGUACUGUGGUCAUUUGACCCGUCCUUGUUAGAUAUAGUUGCAAUCUUUCGACCACAAUCGGUUACACUAACUCUCGUGACGGGCCCUGCAUGUGCGGCAACCGCGCCUACUAAUUCCCACUCUUGAUCUAUACUUCUCCAUAGUUUUAAACUACCGUCGAAAUAGCCGGUAACCAUGUGAUACAGAACAUGAUCGUUGAACAUUCCAGUAGCAAAACUCGUAAUGUUGUCAUGAUCGUACGGAUUUGGAAAUGAUGAUGAGCAACGAUCAACAAGUAUACGAUAUUUCUUACCAGACAUAUCACCUUCAAAGGAAUACGUGGCAGUUUCUACAGUCUCGUUGAAGCUGAUUUCCGCCGGAUGAAUGGUGAUUUUCCAUGAUAACGCCUGAAAGUUUCCUUUGCGUACAG